Molecule: ribosomal RNA, 433 nt
Filed under: uncultured bacterium
Lineage: Bacteria
Description: partial 16S ribosomal RNA
Rfam family: Bacterial small subunit ribosomal RNA
Source: RNAcentral
GACGAACGCUGGCGGCAGGCUUAACACAUGCAAGUCGAACGCACCUUUCGGGGUGAGUGGCAGACGGGUGAGUAACGCGUGGGAAUCUACCCUUCUCUACGGGAUAGCUCCGGGAAACUGGAAUUAAUACCGUAUACGUCCUGAGGGAGAAAGAUUUAUCGGGGAAGGAUGAGCCCGCGUUGGAUUAGCUAGUUGGUGGGGUAAAGGCCUACCAAGGCGACGAUCCAUAGCUGGUCUAAGAGGAUGAUCAGCCACAUUGGGACUGAGACACGGCCCAAACUCCUACGGGAGGCAGCAGUGGGGAAUAUUGGACAAUGGGCGCAAGCCUGAUCCAGCCAUGCCGCGUGAGUGAUGAAGGCCCUAGGGUUGUAAAGCUCUUUCAGUGGGGACGAUAAUGACGGUACCCACAGAAGAAGCCCCGGCUAACUUCGUG